CUCAAAGCAGAUGAAGUUGCAGUUUUUGUGCUACGUCUGCUGCUUUUCUUACUUCCACUCUGUUUCUGAAGACAAAGUUAUUGGGGUCACCAAUAAUAAUGCAAAACAUUGUAGUGUUAUGUCUUGGGAAAAAGUGGCAGCUUCAGGAAAUUAUGGAACAGAACAUAAUAAUUUCAGUUGAGAUCAGUAAGUUUUUGUUGUGGUAUAUCUAAGGCAAGCAGGCAAGAAGUUAGGUGAAUGCAGAAGGCCAGCAUACCAGGUGCCACAAAUGAGAGAGAUAAUUUGCACCUGUAGGGGAACUGUUAUGUCAGGGCCUGAACUGAUGAUUGAGCACCUGGUGAAGGGGGUGGCUGGCUCUGGAAGUACAGACACAAGUGAUUGACUUCAUUGAGGUGCUUCCCACCUCAUUGGGAGGGGUGAGCCACCCCUCCCUGGGCUCAUUUAAGGGCUAGCCUCCAAAGGGAGAACACGUCCUGGAUGAGGACUGCCUCCUGAGAAGGAAUGUUCCACUGUUAUGAGAUGCUCAUCAGCUGGAUAUGCCAUCUGGCAAGGUAAUUUUAGGAUGAAAAGGAUUGCAUUGGUUCUUGAAGGACCGUUCUGCUGCCCCUAUCAGCGCUCUUAGUAACUGGCACAGUACAGAGGCAAACUCACUUGGUUUUGCAAAGACAAUAAUAAUUUAAACACACGAGAGGACUUUUGAUGCUUUCCGCUCAAGAUCAUUGCUAUAAGGCCACCGUGCUAGAUAAAACUUCUUUAAGGCACCUGAGAGAGAGAGGGAAAGAACACCUCCAGAGAGCAGCCUGCUGAUAGAACCUACUUCUAACAAUAUGUGAGAGAGCAGCAAGUUAUCAGGCAUAGGGACAGAAGGGGAAGAUGAAGAUAGCUUUCUUGUUCCAUGAGAAGUGGGAGGUGAAGCGGCAAAGAAGACAGGAAGGCUGAUUUGGGAAGAUAACACAGCAGUUUACAACAAUGGAGGACAAGAAAUCCUUGAAGAUUAAAAGCAUGAAAGAGCGCAGAGAAACACAGGAAGGCUUGUCUCUGCAGUCAGGCGACGAUGAGGACAUGAAGAUGUAUAACUGUCCCAGGUGUGAGAACAUCACAGUUUACCCCCUCAGGACUUGUAACAGGCUUGCCAGAAGGAGAGUGAAAUAGGAGAUUCCAUUUAUUGGCCCUGGAGACUGACAAGGAACCGACACCUGUGCCCAAAUGUUUUCUGAACCUUGGCAGCAACAGGCGUAUUCAUUAUGCAGCAGUUGCAGAUCCAAGUGUGCUCAAGGCACGGGAGAGCAGCAACCUUCUCCCUUGCAAGGAAAAACAGGUUAAGUAGCAAAACAGCUGGUGCAGUGGAAUCCCUAACAUGUUCCAUCUUCAAGAAAACUGGUGCUUCUGACUGUGUGUCACAAGUGCAAGCUGCAAUUUAUGGCAAAGUGGCGUGACCUCAAAAACAGUAGACAGAAUAUAUUAUGUCAUUUGCACUACCAUGGUUACAGGAGGAAGGAGAAGUUUCUGUAGUCUGUCAGUUGCUCAUGGCUAAGGAAAGAGUGUAUUAUUGAUCUGCUUUCAUUUUAAUGAGAAGAGUAUGGAAAUAUGAGUAAGAAAACUUGUGUUUCUUUCCAAAUAUGCUCUUAUGGUCCCGAGCAGAAGAUGAAAGCUGGUUGGGCUUUGUUACUAAUGCGAGUUUGAAGGUUGAGCCUUGCAUAUGGCAUACUGAAGUUUGUGUCCUGUUAAAGGAAAAUUGAUCUUUCUGCACUACGAAGAAGCCUGUCUGUGCAGGAGAGGGCUUUCUCAGAGGCUGGUUUCAAUGACUCAAGUGGACAAUAUGUUUAUCUUCUUGGAUGGUGAAUAUAAUAAGCUGAAGUGAAUAUAAUAAGAUUGCACUGAAGGAGCAGAAAUAAUGUAGCAGCAACCUUUGGGGAUAUCAGAACUGUGACAAAACCCUGGCCUCUUCUGUUUCCAGCAUCAGCAAUGCAAUAGUAGUUGUGGUGUCUUGAAUUAGUUGGAUGCUGCAAGCAUGGAGAGUAUUGAAUGAAAUCCUUUUCUGCAUCUUUAAUCUGUUUUACGGAGUGCAUCUUCAAAAGGCAGGAAAGUACAGAGGAAGGCAACCUUGUUUUACAUGCGUUGGAUUCAGAGAGUCAUCUAUAGUGGUUAUUCCAGAAGCUCAGACUGCUGCUGUCUUUCUUUUCCUGCUCCCAGCAUGGUUUCUGCAGCAAAGAAACUGUGAAGUACUAAGGGAGAAGUGCAGCUACCAAGACUUGAAACGUUUAAAAGAAGGCUGUGAUUCAGCAUGCUCCUGCUCAUGGACCUGAUGCACGUUUUGCCAGUUGCUGACUACUGAGAGACAUGAUGUGAGGAGGCCAGACCUGAACAAAUUCCCUGGGUUGUGAAUCAUGUGGAAGCUCUGUGGGGGAACUGCACCUCUUGUUCAGUAUAGACAGUUGUGAACCUGCUGACUGCAUCUUUCUCCAUCUUUACAAUAGAGUAAUGCUGAUUCUCAAGUCUGUCUGCUCCACUGUGAACUCCAAAACAUUAAGUAAGGCAAAAUUGCUCAAAACUUGCAUUGAACUGGUUGCCAGAAUGGUCCAAUUAGAGAACAAAACCACACCAGGCCUCUUAACUAGCCACAUUGCAGUGCUCAAAGUUUCACUAACAGCUUCUUAGGAAGAUAACCAAUAUGAAUGCUGCCAAAAAAUGAAAAUCUGUCAAACACAGCUGGUCUCCCUAGACAGUUUGGGAGUGCCACCAGAGAAAUAUGGGAAGAAAGAUAAAAGACUUCUGUGUAACUGAACUGCUUCAUAGAUGCAAGAGUCCUGAAGAAUUGUCCUAAAACUAUGUUCACUGGCUCUAUCACAUCUUAAAUUGUAUUACAGGAAAUUCAUCUUGGUCAAGUUGGUAUACGUCUGUUACAUAGCUUCCACUGAGCUGAAUGCCAAAGUCACAACAGAUGUUGUCUGAAGGAAAGCAAUGCCAUUUAUUAUCACACUGGAUGUUAAAGAUAGAACCAUAUUCAUUGUAAGAAUCUGAUGAAGAAGCUCUUGAAUGCUAAUGCUGUCCUGUAAAAAAACUGUGCUAGAAGCCGUUGACAACAAUGACUGAUAAUGAGUGAAUGUUCAUGUGGUCUGUUACACAACACUAAGCUCUUAUUUCACUGUCUGCAGUUAUGUUCAGGCCUUCAAACUCCUCUCUCUUGGAGAUGGGAAAAGACGAUGGAAGCCAUAUGGACAGAUUCAGAGGGAGAGGAUAAGGGGACCAGGAGAAGCCCACAGAGAUCUUUCCUAAAGGAUGAGUGAGAUGAAACUGAAGGAAUUAACACCCACUGCCUUCUCCCUUCUUUGGACAGUGAAUACACAGACUUUAAAAAAAAAAAAAGAAGAAAAAAAAAGUGUUUUGCUUUAAGUGAUGGUGCCUCCAAAUGCCCCCAUGAAGUCAUUUUCCAGCUUAAAGCAUCAGGUGUGGAGAAACAGAAGCAGCUCCAGAAACUGUUGAAUGGCAAAAGGAUUCCCUUGGCCUUUGAUAUACUCAGACAUGUCAUCAAAAUGGUGCUGUGACAUCUUGUACUACAGAAACAAUAGGAAAGUGCAGAACUAUGCAAACUGAGCAAAAGCAAGCAGAAGCCAAAUGUACACUGCAGUGCAAUUAUGUUAUUUGCCCUCAGGGCAGGAAUCACAGUUGAAGCACUUCCUGUUCUGCAGAACACACCUAUACAAGCUGUCCAAGUGGCCUGUACUGUUCAAGGGAGCGUUGCCAGCAAUACAGGUUUAAUGCAUACAUAUACGAUGUUAAGGGUGUGCAUUCUUCUGCUUCCCACAGCUGCACAGCUCACAUGAUGAAAUCUUAUGCUUCUGUGCCUAGCAAUGAAGUUUUAAUCACCUCAAUAUACAUCGUUCCACAAUAUAUAUUUUUCUGUCUACCAAAGACAUAAUGGCUCCUCCUUUUAUGGGAAACCAGGAUUUAAUCCAGAUUUUGUAAUAGAUGACAACCUCAGAAGAAAAAAAAAAGAAGCAGUGUUCUUUUUUCUACUAUUUAAGAUUGUUUAAACAAUAAAUAUAUAGCAUGUUUCAUAAUGACAUUGAAGUAACCAAGAGAAGGAGGCAUGGUGCUCUGGAUAAUGCUAUAUGCGGAUGUAUUCCUGUGUGGCUUUUCUUCCCAAUGCCAGUUAACCACCCACCCAAAGCCAUAAAAAAAAGCAAUAGGAAUGGGUAGGAGAGGAUGGAGUAAUGUAAGUACAGAGGUUGAAAAAGAGUAAGUAACAAGGAAGGAGACAAAGAAAUAAAACAGUCCAAAGCACAGGGAGCAUAGGAAUAUCUCACUUGAGACCUCAAAAAAAUACAAAAUCCUCAUCGAUUCAAUGAACUUUCAUAGUAUUACUCCAGAUUUAUAAUGAUGUAACUAAAAACAGAAAGUGGUCUAACCUCAGCUUAAAGAAUAGGAAAAAGUGCAUUAGGAACAAUAUGAAUUUUAUAGAGGAUCUGCACUGUGAUGUGAAGUACUGGUUAGUCUGAAUUUUCUGCUGCACUAUCAUUACCUAUCAUGACUGCCUGGUUACUAAAGGCUUAAUUGGUCUCCAGGCUAGUAUCUGAAGUUUUCAUUUUAGUGUAAGGUGAAUCUUGCAUACUUGAAAGUUUAAUUUAGUAUAAAAAAACUGAUGUUUUACCAGCUAGCAGAUGAUCAAACUUUCCUAUUUUCUUCCUUUUUGUUUAUACCCUUUGCGUGAUAACACAUAAAGCCAACCCCUCACUUUCUACCAACAAUAGGGAUGUACAUUACCUGCAUCAUAAAUCUUAACACUUGUGUGUUUUUCAGGCAAAUAAAUGACAGAAUCAGAGACCAUCUACUGUCCUGCUCCAUGGUCCCAUGGCAGAAAGUGAAACUCUGAACAAUUAAGGCAGCACAGACAUCCUGCCCUAAAGGACUUUCCUUGAGGAACAACAGCUGUGUGCUUCCUUCCUGUAACUUGGAAGAGCUGCAAAGAAAAGGAAAGCCAAAACAAACAAACAAACAACAAAAAGCCCAACCAUGCGAAAUGUGAAGAGUAAAAUCUGCCAGAUCCAAGGAGCCAUUGUACAGCUGGAGAUGAGCCAUAAAUCUGCAAAAGUUCCCUGUUCAUGCAAAGACCUGGUUGGAAUUGCUACACCCCUCCCACCCCUUCCUUCCCCAGGUGAAAUUUGUCCUGCAAUGUGCGACAGACCAGAAGAAAAGCACACACACUUUUCCUGGAAUUACGAUGCUUUAUAGACUUUCUGAUCAUGGGCAUCUCCCUCCUUGCUGAGCUCAUCCACCCGACCCCACCAAGACAAGCACUGAAAUUCAGGUUACCCCAGAUGAGGUCAGAGCAGGGAACCCCACGUUUCAGGAGGAGUUUGUGAGCUACCUGUCGGUUUUGGCUCCAGGGAGGAGGAUGUUAUAUGGCAACUGCCCUGUGCUAAAGAGUUGGUUAAAAAGCACCCCGGAAUAAAGCUCAGAACAGAAUGGAGAGCUGCCAGGAAGCAGACAGCUGCAGGAGGAAAUGGCAGAGAGCAUCCAUGUGGUGCCGGUGUGCCAAGGCCAAGGGCAGCAGCCAGCCCAGGAUGGGCAGCCGGACAUGAGAGCAUGGGGACGUGAUGACAGUCACUGAAGGCCCCGGGAGGGAGCAGUGGUGUGAGUGCAUCGCCUGUCUGUUGUGCCACUUGUUACAGCCUACCUGAUACACCUGGGAUUUUUAAAGUAUUUAGUUUCCGAGGGAUAUCCAGAUUUCAGGGACGGAUCCUGGAAGAACAUUCAGGCGGCAAUGACCUCUGACAUUUGGAAAGCCAAAUAACAGUGGAAUAAGUGGCUUAGAGAGAGUUAAGCAAGAGAGAAUGUUCCACCCCACACUGGCACGGUGCUCUGCUUCGCUCCACAUCUCUGCUUCUCCAUGAAGUCAUGCCCCUCAAUCCAGAAAGCUUCCAUCAGAAAUGCUCAGUACUGCGUGUUUAGUGUAAUACUUACACCCUGUCAAGACUUCCAAAGCACAACAAAUUAAUCUGGAAAUUCAGAUUGCUUCCGACAGGACUGUUGCAGGGAUAUAACAGGAGCUCUGCAGGGAGAAGGUGGGAUGAAGGCACUGAGAAUGAAUUGUUGCCCAGAGGGAUUGAUUGCCAUGGAGGAAAACCAGAAAAAGGAUAAAAAACAGCAACAAAAUGUGUAGUAAAGAAGGUGGAAACAGGAAACAAAUGGUGAAGUGAUACCAUGAUGCUCUACUGGCUCAAAAGCAAGAAAAAAUUAUGAAAGCAUUAAUUUAUUCAUUUUCAGCCAAAUGAAAACAAAACAAAACAAAAAAAUCAAAACAAAAAACUAGUACAUAAAAAGAGAAAAUAGACCAGAAGUUAGAACAUGUGAAGAAAAUGGGCAGCAAAGGAAGAGGAAAUGAAGAGUGGUGAAACAAGUGUUGGAAGAAAAGGAGUGGGGGUGAAGAAGCAACACAAAGAGAUCUGAUGCACAGGGCUUUUAGAGAUGCUUAGAAUCUUCAGCUGCUGAGAGCAGGGUCUUGUUGUACAAGAUGAUACAGAGGCACACAAUAAAGGACUGCUGGUCCCAGGAGCCUGGCAAGCUAAGCAAGGGGAGAGAAGAAAUAUCACCACUGUUUUACAAAUGGAAAUAUGGAAAACCAGAGCUCUGAGAAUCUGUGCAACUCAUUGCAGUGUCACACAGCAAUAUUGGCAAGGGAAUUCUGUCAAAGUCCAGAAUCAGUGCAUACUAAAGACCCUGUAAUCCUGGGGAAGCAGUAGCAAGCAGGGGGUAUUCACUCAAGACCAAGCAGUGGAGAAGCGCGUUGAUAUUUCCUGAAGACAAAAUAAACCGAGUGGAAAGUUCACUGUCUUCCUUUUGAAGAUGACUGAAGGUAGGAGGGGAGAUUGCCAGGACUGAGGGUGGGUGGCAGCAGGCACAGAGCUGCUUGCAGCCCCCAGACCUUCAAGGCCAUGGCAAACAUUUCCAACACAGCCUGCUGAAUUCUGUUUGCAAAACUGUUGAGCUAAACUCUUUACCAAUGCUGACUGCACUGCUGUAAUGCUGCCUUCUGACUUAAAACCAGUUUGGGCUAAUUGUUAAGGAUCAGAUAACAGGAAAAUAUUUCUAUUUGACAGUCUACUAUUUUUCAAUUGUUCCUCUGUUACAUAUCUAAGUAAACAUUUGUUCCACUUAUCAUUUCUGAGCAAAAGACAUGAAUCAUUUGACUAGUAAAACCACAACGACAGCUGUUGCUUAUUAGAAACAGUCAUCUUGUUCAAGGGCCUGCUAUGAAGGGGUUCUUCAGGAAACCGUUUCUGCUUUUAGUGCUUUACAGUGUAAUGAAAGCAGAGUUGCAGAAAUUAGGGCAUUUUUAUUUCACUCGUGAUUGGCAAAACACACAGGCACACACAAACAGAGCAGUUGUUACAGCUGAGCUAGAAGCCUGCAAGAAAAUGGAAAAUACUCACUGAAGAGUACUGCUAAUGAUGUAAUAUUAUCGUCUUUGCCUUACGGUUUUCUACAAUACAGGUCAAAGUGGGUUCUGAGGUUUCCUUUGUGAUUAGGUUAUAUCAUUUUGGAUUUGGGAUUUGGUAUUGGAUAAAUUCUGUAUACUAGUUAUAAAUCCUCUACCAGAUAUAUAUUUUUGCCUAGAUCUUAGGAACAAAUUAAUUCUGGAUUUGUAAAUACCCUUAGAAGCCAGUCACCAGUGAUGACAACAAUACUACUUUCAGAUAAAGCUUCUCCAGCCAGUGGUAGAAGGCAAAAAAAAAAAAAAAUAUAUAUAUAUAUAUAUAUAUAUAUUUUUUUUUUUUAAAAGUAAGAUCUGCAUAAGAGAAUGCUAUGAAAUUGUUUUUAAUUGAGUGGAAGAAAAAUAGGAAAGUAAAGCUGUGCCAGAAGGAAUUUGUGAAAUAAGUGAAACUGAGGCAGGUGAGAUGCAAAGAUUUUUCUUUCUAGGAUGUUGCUACAAAUGCCUUGUAGAGCAUAAAGGCAGAAAUGUGUUUAUUCCUGUGACUGCAUUAAAAAAAAAAAAAGUAUUCAACAGAUGUCCUAACACUUAGGCAUUUUUUCAGACAAAUCACUAGACUGACAAACCCAGUAUGAUGCCUUUAUCACUGGGUUUGAAGGGAGAAGCCAAUGAGCAUAGAGGCUGCACUGAUCCCAGCAGAAGAGAGGGGUGGGACAUUCAGAGCAAUUGAGAAAUACUACCAAGCAGUGUGCUCUGCUGGUAAAUAGGAGCAUUCGUGGUUUUGUGACUUUGUUGUUUAAAUGUGUUCCAAAACACUAAAUUCACUUGCAAAUAUUAAAGAAGAGUGGGGAAAAAAAAACAAUUGUGGGAUUAUGGCAAAAGAAAAGGAAAGUAGGACAGAGGAAUGGCAGAGAGAAGCUUCUAAGUGAGGAGACAAAGCUGAGGUUUAUUAUGAGUUAGAAAUCUGCAAAACUGUCACCAAUUCAGAAACUGCACUCAGCGAAGCUUCUAAAGAUCAUAUCCUGCCCUUCAUUCACCCUCGCAGCACUCACUGAUGGGAGUCAGCACUUCGCUGCAGCUGGGUAUUUAGAAGUCAUUUGUUCUGUGUAACAUGCCCGUUCUUACUAAUCUUAGUCAAGUAAGUAGUCCAUCCUCAUGUGUCAUCCCACGGAAGUCAAAUAUGCUAUUAGCAUAAGUGAUGAUUACUUAUCCGUGUGAGGUCUUGUGGGGUUGGGUCUUUCAGCAUUGGAAUACUUGACAUGGCAGUCUUUCUAUUAUAAUUUAAUAAAAUGGGGCCCAAUUCAGCUCAGAGAUGCCCUAGGGAGUCAGCUGGACUUAAAUGGUGCUUAGGCCUUUGACUGGACCUCUGCAAAGCCUGAAUUUCAUUGAGUGAAUACUAAUUACUCAGAAGGAGGGUUAUUAAAUUAUAGGCUCAGUUCUUUACUGUUGCUCAGAGCAUGGUACCUUUCGAGUGCUUGAGCGAGUUAAUGUACUGGACACAGAAGGUUCUGGUGAGAUUGCUUUCCUGAUAAAACAAGGAUUGAAGAAAUGUUGUUAAUAAUUAGAGUAUUUAUAGAUGUUGGCGAGCAAAUUUCAUUCCAUAAAAAUACUGUACAAUAAAAAACCGGACAGUAUAUAUUUACAUCAAAAUGAAAACCUCUCUUGGAGCUGUGUAGAUGGAAAAGGUCUAACAAAAUCUACCUCAAAGCCAGUGGAAAUCUUCCUAUUGAUUUUGAUGAGCUCUGAAUUAAGCCCUCACAGGACCAGCACACGCAGGGGCCUUGACACAUCACAGUCUUGGGUGACUGGGUGAGGCAGUGGAAUCAGUGAGCAGCUGGGACAUGGAACAGUUCCCCCAGCCAGCUGCCUUGUGCAAGGAGGAAUCAAUCAGUUCAUCUCUCGUGUCACAGGCUGAGCACAUGAUUUUUAAAGGAUUACUUGUAUGUCUAACAGCUGAUGUUCUCCCUCUUUUUAAUUUAUUUGUGUCUUAUUGUUCUUCACCUGCUUUCUGACCAGCUAUUGGCCUCAGAGUAGCUCCUGUUCUGUUUGAACCUUCAUUCUAAAACCCUGCAGGUUCUCAAAGCAUUUUCAUUGUACGUGAAUACUGUGGGACUUCCUUGUCACCUUUGUGACCAUCUCCUUAGUUCAUAGAUCUCCUGAUUCCUAAAGUGUAAUGGAGAAAGAAAAAUUUUGUAUCAUCUUUUCCUAACCAACUAGCUCCUGCAUCUGCUCUUUGCUGCACGCAAUCUGCUGUAGUUACAGAGAGCAUGACUAGUUCUCUCUGUGACCCCACAAGAUUUGAAACAAACAAACAAAACAAAACAGAUAUUUGAAAAUGUCUUCACUGAUAGGAGAAAAAAUAUUGCUGUUAAACUCAGAGGGUUUGGCACACUAGACUAUGAGUGAUAUAAUGGACCCGUUAUAGCAUUUGAUCUUUAUCUUUGCUUGCUAUUCCUAUUAAAACGAUUUGCUGGUUUUAUGUCUAUUUCACUUUCAGCUUCCCAAUCAGGUGUCCGGGAAAAAUUGCGUUCAUUAGCUGUUACAUAAAUUGUUUGCCAAAUCAUGCAUAUUAAAGGCAUAUAUGCAGAUCAGUCCUGUAACAUCACACAUAUAAAAUGUAUUUUAUACAGUGCAUCACUUAGACUUAUUGAAAGACUAAAAUCUGCAUACUAAAUGGCAGGUAUGCCCUCAGUAAAUUAACAGAGAAUCUUCAUUGUCAAUGUUAAUCAAACAGCACUUUAAAAACUCUUCUUUUAUCAUUGUCUCAACAGUGUUUUUCUCCUGUUAGAUUUAAAACCAAGCUCAGGCAUUUUUAAAGCUUAGAUCCCUUUGUGGACCAAUGCCCUCAUGCAACCCAAGAAAGAACGAGCCAACUCCAGCCAGCUGUAAUCCAUAUAGAAUCAAUAGGACUUUUUCUUAGUAAAAUUAAAAACUUUCCAGAAAAAAAAAAAAAGCAACAAUAAAACAAACCCCUUGCCUAAUCAGCUUUAAAAAGAUUCCAACAUCUUUACAUGUCAACCUGCAUGCUUAAAUUGAGGACUUUUUUAUUUACUAGCUGUCUGAGAACUUGAUUUUUCUUCAUUUUCCCAUUAGCGAGGCAGUUUAGGCAGCAGAAUUCCUGUAUUCCUCUCACUGGAGUAGCACAGAAAAAAAAUCAUUUGAUUCCAGCGGAUAGUAGUUGAUUUCAUUAUCGUAUUAGAGAAAAUAAAGAUUACAAUUCCGAAUUACUUUGCCUGCAGUCCACACACUAACCAUAUAAAUGGCAAUAUGUGGAAAAGUUGACUACAUCAUAAAAAAUUAACUUCCUGCAAGGAUUUUCUUGAAUUGGUUUCAAAAGAAUCCUCCAUUUGGCAUCUUUCCUGUACUGAAUUUCUGGAGGGUAACUGCAUUAUGUGCAUGUAAAACAUGAGAAAGGAAACGUUCACUGAACUCCUUCUUUCUGUUACCAAAUGUGACUGUAGUACGUUGUUUGCGUUUAAAAGAGUUGCCUCAAAGCUAAAUUCUGUGAUUAUGCGCCUAUAUGUGCGUGCAUUAUAAGAUAACCACUAACAGAAAGUGAAACACUGUUCUCUUUCACUUGCUGCUGAGUGACAAAGGUCGCACUUAAUGAUAAUUUGAAUAUUCUGCCAGCAGCUGAUGAUAUUCUGUCCCUGCCAAACUAACUAAAUAAAUAAAUAAAUGCUUCCCUCUCCUACAGUAAAUGCCCUGUAAGUCUAUAGAAAACAAAUUAGGAAUGCGUUAUUCUCAAUGAAAAAAGUCUCCAUGAGAGGUAUCAUUUUAUUUUUUUUUAGUGCACGGAAUAACAUAAAUCAAAAGAAGCAAUAGUCUACCUUGUGUUUUGACUAGUUUGACCCUCUUCAACCCCUGCCAAUUUUUAUCUCAUUUUUGUUUAACUUUGUACAUCAGAGUUUAAUUUUAAACCUGGUCCUGAAGACAGUGAUGUAUAGGGUACAUCAAGUAUAGCUUAAAUUACCCUCUCCCCAGUGAUUUGAAGUUGAGGGGAGGGUCCUACUCCACAGCAGGGUGGGAAAGAGAAAUGGUCAGAUGUUGCCCUUUGAACCUGACCACCCUCAGCUACAGAAACGUUUAUGCCAGAACAUCAUUUAUUGAUUUUAUUAUAUUUUAGGAUCUCUUAAAACUGUUGGUGAAGUUUGCCGUAUAUUAAUUUUUGACACAUGCAUAUAAAAACAGAAAUACGGGUUGAGCAGAAACUAUAAAUAUAGACAACACUGCCCAAUAAACUUACAUCCUUUCACUUACAGGUUUCCAUUUCAGCCAAUCCUUCCAAGCAGUCUGUCUUUGGAAAUAAAUGUUACCCCUCUGAUAAGCUAACCAAUUUGAAGAUUAAAGCUGCAUUUGAGGAUUAAAGUUUUUCUUAUUUGA
Long non-coding RNA from Lagopus leucura (white-tailed ptarmigan), 11815 nucleotides. RefSeq lists it as uncharacterized. NCBI's taxonomy places the organism in Eukaryota, Metazoa, Chordata, Aves, Galliformes, Phasianidae. The record is from RefSeq and is a predicted model, not a curated record. The transcript has 37 exons.